This 253-nucleotide ribosomal RNA is filed under the name uncultured bacterium. RNAcentral's name for it is "partial 16S ribosomal RNA". It matches the Rfam family "Bacterial small subunit ribosomal RNA", at positions 524 to 776 of the family's 1533-position model. The record is from RNAcentral.
AACGUAGGAGACGAACGUUAUCCGGAGUUACUGGGCGUAAAGGGCGUGUAGGCGGUUUGUUAAGUCUGGCGUGAAAGCUCUCGGCUAAACCGGGAGAGGUCGUUGGAUACUGGCGAACUAGAGGAUGGUAGAGGCGUGUGGAAUUCCGGGUGUAGUGGUGAAAUGCGUAGAGAUCCGGAGGAACACCAGUGGCGAAGGCGACACGCUGGGCCAUACCUGACGCUGAGGAGCGAAAGCGUGGGGAGCGAACAGG